This 240-nucleotide ribosomal RNA is filed under the name uncultured Lactobacillus sp. Its description in RNAcentral is "partial 16S ribosomal RNA". It matches the Rfam family "Bacterial small subunit ribosomal RNA", at positions 122 to 355 of the family's 1533-position model. The record is from RNAcentral. Lineage: Bacteria; Bacillati; Bacillota; Bacilli; Lactobacillales; Lactobacillaceae.
UAACCUGCCCAAGAGAUCGGGAUAACACCUGGAAACAGAUGCUAAUACCGGAUAACAACAGAUGAUGCCUAUCAACUGUUUAAAAGAUGGUUCUGCUAUCACUCUUGGAUGGACCUGCGGUGCAUUAGCUAGUUUGUAGGGUAACGGCCUACCAAGGCGAUGAUGCAUAGCCGAGUUGAGAGACUGAUCGGCUACAUUGGGACUGAGACACGGCCCAAACUCCUACGGGAGGCAGCAGUC